GAUGAACUAGCAAUUGGCUGAGCCCUCAAGGGUUACCUCAAGAGUUAACACAUUGCUGUUAAUGUAGCCUCCCACUCUACAAGGCAACAUGAAUGGAGGGAGGGGAGACAGCAUGGCAGACAGAGACACACACACGGUGUGUGGGAGAGGGAGAAGAUGCA
Gopherus evgoodei (Goodes thornscrub tortoise) is the source of this 161-nucleotide long non-coding RNA. RefSeq lists it as uncharacterized. NCBI's taxonomy places the organism in Eukaryota, Metazoa, Chordata, Testudines, Testudinidae. The transcript is spliced from 3 exons. The record is from RefSeq and is a predicted model, not a curated record.